RNAcentral lists this long non-coding RNA (174 nucleotides) under Ictidomys tridecemlineatus (thirteen-lined ground squirrel). RNAcentral describes it as "lncRNA (ENSSTOG00000029734.1)". The record is from RNAcentral. Lineage: Eukaryota; Metazoa; Chordata; Mammalia; Rodentia; Sciuridae.
UUCUGCAGGGCAACCAGGCUGGCGUUUGAUUAAUCACAUGCAACGUUGGAGAGAUCACCUCACCCACAACACAGACUUCUCCAUCAGAAUGAGCUACACGACGCCGGUUUGCUAUCCUGUCUGAAGGUUGAAGUGCUGGCAGUUAUUUCCAAAAUGACUGUGUUCCAUACUAUU